RNAcentral lists this ribosomal RNA (1153 nucleotides) under marine metagenome. RNAcentral describes it as "bacterial SSU rRNA". It matches the Rfam family "Bacterial small subunit ribosomal RNA", at positions 348 to 1516 of the family's 1533-position model. The record is from RNAcentral.
GCAGCAGUGGGGAAUUUUCCGCAAUGGGCGAAAGCCUGACGGAGCAACGCCGCGUGAGGGAUGAAGGCCUCUGGGCUGUAAACCUCUUUUAUCAAGGAAGAAGAUCUGACGGUACUUGAUGAAUAAGCCACGGCUAAUUCCGUGCCAGCAGCCGCGGUAAUACGGGAGUGGCAAGCGUUAUCCGGAAUUAUUGGGCGUAAAGCGUCCGCAGGCGGCCCUUCAAGUCUGCUGUUAAAAAGUGGAGCUUAACUCCAUCAUGGCAGUGGAAACUGAGGGGCUUGAGUGUGGUAGGGGCAGAGGGAAUUCCCGGUGUAGCGGUGAAAUGCGUAGAUAUCGGGAAGAACACCAGUGGCGAAGGCGCUCUGCUGGGCCAUUACUGACGCUCAUGGACGAAAGCCAGGGGAGCGAAAGGGAUUAGAUACCCCUGUAGUCCUGGCCGUAAACGAUGAACACUAGGUGUCGGGGGAAUCGACCCCUUCGGUGUCGUAGCUAACGCGUUAAGUGUUCCGCCUGGGGAGUACGCACGCAAGUGUGAAACUCAAAGGAAUUGACGGGGGCCCGCACAAGCGGUGGAGUAUGUGGUUUAAUUCGAUGCAACGCGAAGAACCUUACCAGGGUUUGACAUCCUGAGAACCUCUUAGAAAUUUGAGGGUGCCUUCGGGAAUUCAGUGACAGGUGGUGCAUGGCUGUCGUCAGCUCGUGUCGUGAGAUGUUGGGUUAAGUCCCGCAACGAGCGCAACCCACGUCUUUAGUUGCCAGCAUUUAGUUGGGCACUCUAGAGAGACCGCCGGUGAUAAACCGGAGGAAGGUGUGGAUGACGUCAAGUCAUCAUGCCCCUUACACCCUGGGCUACACACGUACUACAAUGCUACGGACAAAGGGCAGCAAGUUCGCGAGGACAAGCAAAUCCCAUAAACCGUGGCUCAGUUCAGAUCGUAGGCUGCAACUCGCCUACGUGAAGUAGGAAUCGCUAGUAAUCGCAGGUCAGCAUACUGCGGUGAAUACGUUCCCGGGCCUUGUACACACCGCCCGUCACACCAUGGAAGUUGGCCAUGCCCGAAGUCGUUACUCCAACCCUUGUGGAGGAGGACGCCGAAGGUGGGGCUAAUGACUGGGGUGAAGUCGUAACAAGGUAGCCGUACCGGAAGGUGCG